GACACAGACCGCCUUAUCGCCACGUUAUAUACGUGGAGGAAAGUCCGGACACCAAAGGGAAGCAUAGCGGGUAACACCCGUCGGUUCGCCACGGCGAAUUAGGACAAGUGCAACAGAAAGUAUGUACAGGUAAUGCUGUAGUGAAACCAGGUAAACUCUAUGCGGUGAAAUAUCAAGUAUAUCAGCAUUUAAGGGCUUCUCGUCCGUUGUUGAAGGGUAGAUAGCUUGAGUCACAUAGUAAUAUGUGAUCUAGAUAAAUGAUAAGGCUCCAAUUUAUUGGAGACAGAAUCCGGCUUAUAGGUCUGUUUUUUUU
RNAcentral lists this RNase P RNA (313 nucleotides) under Flavobacterium flabelliforme. Its description in RNAcentral is "Flavobacterium sp. P4023 RNase P RNA component class A". It matches the Rfam family "Bacterial RNase P class A". Rfam says of the family: Ribonuclease P (RNase P) is a ubiquitous endoribonuclease, found in archaea, bacteria and eukarya as well as chloroplasts and mitochondria. RNAcentral also lists the same sequence under 1 other name. Lineage: Bacteria; Pseudomonadati; Bacteroidota; Flavobacteriia; Flavobacteriales; Flavobacteriaceae. The record is from RNAcentral.